Molecule: transfer RNA, 66 nt
Filed under: Sepiella maindroni
Lineage: Eukaryota; Metazoa; Mollusca; Cephalopoda; Sepiida; Sepiidae
Also listed under: 1 other name
Description: tRNA-Gln
Source: RNAcentral
UACAUUAUGGUGUAGUGAGCAUAUAAAUUUUUGGAGUUUAAGGAGGAAUUCAAAUUCCUUUUGUAA